This is a long non-coding RNA of Onychostoma macrolepis, 1229 nucleotides long. RefSeq lists it as uncharacterized. Lineage: Eukaryota; Metazoa; Chordata; Actinopteri; Cypriniformes; Cyprinidae. The transcript is spliced from 3 exons. The record is from RefSeq and is a predicted model, not a curated record.
GGCCUAUAAAGGUAGGUGGUGGGUGGUUUUGGAGGAUCCGUCUAAUCAUCAUGUGUGAUGUCAUCGGAUUUCUGGUGUGGCGCGGAAGCGUGUAAGGAUGUGGAUUGAGGAAACCUGCGACACACUGUUACAGAGUGUGCUGCAUAGGAUCACGACGGAGCUUCCUAUGUACUACCAGUUGAAUAGACCGUUGCAAACUUAAGGCCAGGACCAAGCUUUGAGAGACGUAGCAGUGGGUUUCUCGUUGGGACGCUGUCGGCUGCACUCUCGUGUAUAGACACUGGUGUUGCUAUUUCCUGGGCAGCCGUGGAGUGCUGACCACCUCGUUCUACGGCAUGGUGCCUAGACUAUCAGUGUGUUCGUUCCAGCGUGGGCUAUACAGAAUAUCGGCCGAACUGAGGUUUGGCGUGCUGCUGUUUAUCUCUAUUGCUGUGUGUUAUUUUAUUCGGCGGUCCGGGACGCCCAACCGACAGUCAUUACAGAGCCUUUGUAGUUUUUUUUUUAAAAGUCUCCGGAUGUAAUAAUUAUCUGGGUUUACAUUUUAUUGUGAGCAUUGUUUUGUUUGUUUGUUUGUUUGUUUUUGCCGAAUCUCCUUGUUGUGAAAUGGUUCAUUCUUGAACUUGUAUUUUUUAUUUUAUUUUUUUCCUUUUUGUUGAUUUAGUUUCUUUUUUUUGGUUUUGUUGAAAUCUGCGUUUGAGGUUUUCAUGUGAAAUUUGGUUAUUUGUAUUCUUAUGGUUUUUUGGGUUCGUUUUCUUAUUUGAUUGUUAUUGAUUUUGUAAGAAGUAUUUUGUGUGUGUGUGUGUGUGGGUGGGUGGGUGUGAAGGGCGUAAUGUAGUUUCAUUGUGAUUUUUUGUUUUCUCUCCAGGAGUUGGGGGUACCAGUGAUUAUGUGUGGGGCAAUUCCCCCUUUCCUUGCAUGGUGGUAGUUUGUUCGGAGUGUAGUGUUUAACACUUGGGGUGCUGUGGUCUAUAAGUGCAUGUAAGUUUGCUUUGUCUGUCCCUUUUUUUGUUUUUUUUUUAGGCCCCAGCCCUGGAGUAGAAGUGGACUUGUGUGUAUGUCCUAUUGGUAUUAUCUGUUUGGUGCAUCCUGGAUAUAUUAACUAAUGGUUUCCAAUAAAGUUGUGUAUAUUUGAUUUGUCUCGUGUCCUGAAUCAGCCGAAACCGAACCUGUGAACCUUUCUUCUGUGUUAAUAGGCGAUUCCCCAGUAAUUUGGCCUCUGGGGUGGCAUA